UACGGAGGGGGCAAGCGUUGUUCGGAGUUACUGGGCGUAAAGCGCGCGCAGGUGGUUUCUUAAGUCUGAUGUGAAAGCCCACGGCUCAACCGUGGAGGGUCAUUGGAAACUGGGAGACUUGAGUGCAGAAGAGGAAAGUGGAAUUCCAUGUGUAGCGGUGAAAUGCGUAGAGAUAUGGAGGAACACCAGUGGCGAAGGCGACUUUCUGGUCUGUAACUGACACUGAGGCGCGAAAGCGUGGGGAGCAAACAGG
RNAcentral lists this ribosomal RNA (253 nucleotides) under uncultured microorganism. RNAcentral describes it as "partial 16S ribosomal RNA". It matches the Rfam family "Bacterial small subunit ribosomal RNA", at positions 524 to 776 of the family's 1533-position model. The record is from RNAcentral.